This 69-nucleotide transfer RNA is filed under the name Rattus norvegicus (Norway rat). It matches the Rfam family "tRNA". Rfam says of the family: Transfer RNA (tRNA) molecules are approximately 80 nucleotides in length. Their secondary structure includes four short double-helical elements and three loops (D, anti-codon, and T loops). The record is from Rfam by way of RNAcentral. Lineage: Eukaryota; Metazoa; Chordata; Mammalia; Rodentia; Muridae.
GGGGAUUUAGCUCAGUGGUAGAGUACUUGCCUAGCAAGCGCAAGGCUCUGGGUUCGGUCCCCAGCUCCA